This 833-nucleotide non-coding RNA is filed under the name Pongo abelii (Sumatran orangutan). The record is from RNAcentral. Lineage: Eukaryota; Metazoa; Chordata; Mammalia; Primates; Hominidae.
UAUUCAAUCCAGGUUUAAGUCCUUCAGCAUCUGACAUUCUCCUGGCAACUGUAAUUCAAUCAAUGAUGACUCAUCUGAGAUGAGCAAGUUGGUCCAGUCAGACCAAACAAAAGACACUCUAUAAUCAGGGGAGAAGUCUUCUCUAUAUCUUUCUUAUAUGAGCAAAUUUAAUGACCUCCACCAUGUCUAAGAACAAGCAGCUAUUUCUGUAGAGAAAGAUCACCUUUGGAUAACAAUACAUGAUUUUAGGCUCUAAAAGUUAAAACGUGUUUGUAACGUUGAUAUUAUGCAGAGGUCUUGACAGAACUUAGCAGUCUCUGAGGCUACAGAGAAGUGUGAAAAAGAGCAUAGAGAUUUCAGAAGGAGGCAGAUUCAGUCAGACAUACUGAAUCCUGUUUGAUCUCAAUUCAGGCACACUCCAGAUGGAUGAUGUGAGAAUCACAGCAAAGGAAGAAUGGGCAUGAAUAGUAAAUGGUAAAUGUGGGGAUGCAGUAUUGAACAGCACACUGGAGUUUUUGUCCAGAAGUUUGACUUUAGAAGAUAAGAAAUAACUGAGCGUAUUACAAGCAGGAGUUAGAGGAAGAGACUCAGUACAGAAGAGACAGGAACAAAAGUUCACCUCCAUUAGAUGGGAAAGGAUACAGAUCAAGAGCUCAGGAAAAGUAGGAGAAAGAAGCUCUAUUCCAGAAGCAGUGUGGAGCACAAAGAAUCCCUAAUCCCUGACAUUAAGAAAGAAGAAAAAUAUUCCUAGGACGAUCCUGGAGAGCAAAGGUCAUUAGCAGUCACUUGACUUUCCUUGGAUUUCUCAACUGCAGUAGUCACACGGUCUGCUG